UACGUAGGGUGCAAGCGUUGUCCGGAAUUAUUGGGCGUAAAGAGCUCGUAGGCGGCUAGUCACGUCGGAUGUGAAAACCCGAGGCUCAACCUCGGGCCUGCAUUCGAUACGGGCUGGCUAGAGUACUGCAGGGGAGACUGGAAUUCCUGGUGUAGCGGUGAAAUGCGCAGAUAUCAGGAGGAACACCGGUGGCGAAGGCGGGUCUCUGGGCAGUAGCUGACGCUGAGGAGCGAAAGCGUGGGGAGCGAACAGG
This 253-nucleotide ribosomal RNA is filed under the name uncultured bacterium. Its description in RNAcentral is "partial 16S ribosomal RNA". It matches the Rfam family "Bacterial small subunit ribosomal RNA", at positions 524 to 776 of the family's 1533-position model. The record is from RNAcentral.